GUUGACGUGUUCGCAGCAGCCGCGGUAAGGCUGAGGGUCGAGUUGUGGUUCGGGGUGUCUGGGCGGAAAGUGGGCGUAGGUGUGUGGGGAAGUCGGAUGUGAUAUCCCGGGGCUCAACUCCGAAAUGGCAUUGGAAACGACCUUGCUCGAGGGUUGGAGGGGGGACUGUAAUACUUGGUGUAGCAGUGAAAUGCGUAGAUAUCAAGUGGAACACCAGUGGCGAAGGCGAGUCCCUGGACAACUCCUGACACUGAGGCACGAAAGCUAGGGGAGCAAACAGGAUUAGAUACCCUGGUAGUC
This 300-nucleotide ribosomal RNA is filed under the name uncultured Marmoricola sp. RNAcentral's name for it is "bacterial SSU rRNA". It matches the Rfam family "Bacterial small subunit ribosomal RNA", at positions 496 to 795 of the family's 1533-position model. The record is from RNAcentral. Lineage: Bacteria; Bacillati; Actinomycetota; Actinomycetes; Propionibacteriales; Nocardioidaceae.